AUGAACCAGAAAAUUUUGGUGAAUGUGCAUACCUGCCCAUGCUCUCAUUUCCUACAAUACAGUGAUCCCAAUCCCAUUUCCUUGGUUUUCAGACAUUUUCACAGUUGUGUGUUCAGGCCAGCAAGUCCAGGAAGAGCAAUACAUCUUAAGUUUCACAAGGAGUUUGUAAGAAUUUCAAGACAUGCAAGAAUAAGAAAAUGGUCGCUGCUCAUUAAUCCUUGUGGAGAAGGCCCUUCCUUAGCUCCAUCUUACAGAUGAAACAUGAAGCCUCAGAGAAGUUCAACAACUUUUUCCAAAGCAGACAUCUAGAAAGCUGUAGAACCAGGAUUCAAACUCCAGUCUCUUUGACCCUAGAGCCCGUGCGAAUACAACAAGUUUUAUUCCACCAUGCAAAGCCAGACGGAACCAAGACAGGUGGCCUGAGUCUCAAGAGCCAGAAGCAUCAUCAAAGAAAAGCUGCGUGAACAAGUGAAACCAAUCCCGCAAGGCGGCCGGGUAGCACAUCCUCUAGAAGCAAAAACAACUCUACCCCUUGUCUGCCCCAUUCUUCACCAAGAGAUGACCUACCUGAUGCGGGAAACAAAGUCAGAAGAAAAAUUAUUAAAUCUCCUUACUUCCUACAGCCAUUUGACACGUCCUUGAAACAGGCAGAGUGACAUUCCUCUAGGGACUCAACUGUCUCGAUGUUAAUACUUGUUAAGGGCAAAAGGCAAUCUUAGCCCAAACCCAGGAUCCUGUAAGUCUACUUUCACAUAUAAAAAUUCUUUUGGAAACUUCCUUUAUCUCUACACCUCCCCAGAUACAUGUUGGCAAUCAUCCCCCAAGCAUAUGGCCCACCGAUAUACAUCUAAGAGUCUUGUGACUGAGGUUUUAUUAGACGGUAAUAAAUGACCAUUUCCCAACAGUAGCUGGCCCCCUCAAGGUCCUGGACACCUUGCUUCCAAAUUCCUUAGGGACUUACACUAUCCCUAACCACCCCCACCUAGGAAGUAUAUAAUGGGCCACUCUUCAUGUCUCUGGUGCAGCUCUUUCUGCCCACGGGUCCUGUCCCCUUGCUUUAAUAAAACCACCAUUUUGCACCAAAGAUUCUCAAGAAUUCUUUCUGGGCCAUCUGGCUUCGAACCC
RNAcentral lists this long non-coding RNA (1125 nucleotides) under Ailuropoda melanoleuca (giant panda). RNAcentral's name for it is "lncRNA (ENSAMEG00000028588.1)". The record is from RNAcentral. Lineage: Eukaryota; Metazoa; Chordata; Mammalia; Carnivora; Ursidae.